AGAUUGAACGCUGGCGGCAUGCCUUACACAUGCAAGUCGAACGGCAGCGCGGGAGCAAUCCUGGCGGCGAGUGGCGAACGGGUGAGUAAUAUAUCGGAACGUGCCUAGUAGUGGGGGAUAGCCCGGCGAAAGCCGGAUUAAUACCGCAUACGACCUGAGGGUGAAAGCGGGGGAUCGCAAGACCUCGCGCUACUGGAGCGGCCGAUAUCAGAUUAGCUAGUGGUGGGUAAGCCUACCAGGCAACGAUCUGUAGUUGGUCUGAGAGGACGACCAGCCACACUGGGACUGAGACACGGCCCAGACUCCUACGGGAGCAGCAGUGGGGAAUUUGGACAAUGGGCGCAAGCCUGAUCCAGCAAUGCCGCGUGCAGGAAGAGGCCUUCGGUUGUAAACUGUCUUUUGUCAGGGAAGAAACGUUCUUCGUGGUACCUAAAGUACGUACCCGGGAGGAUUCGAACGGUACC
RNAcentral lists this ribosomal RNA (464 nucleotides) under uncultured soil bacterium. RNAcentral describes it as "bacterial SSU rRNA". It matches the Rfam family "Bacterial small subunit ribosomal RNA", at positions 26 to 479 of the family's 1533-position model. The record is from RNAcentral.